This is a non-coding RNA of Penaeus vannamei (Pacific white shrimp), 406 nucleotides long. NCBI's taxonomy places the organism in Eukaryota, Metazoa, Arthropoda, Malacostraca, Decapoda, Penaeidae. The record is from RefSeq and is a predicted model, not a curated record.
GGACACUCGACCCCUGCAGGAAGACUCGUUUUGCUGUGUCGUGAAUGGCGGAAAAGGCGGCUAGAGACACGUCGCUUCUCGUUCUGUGUCAUGAGGCUGUUGUUGUGAGUCGUCAGGAAUUCCUCUGUCACGUCCCACACGUUGGCUUCGAAGUUGUGCACGAACACCGUCUUCGGCUCCAACUCGUCAACCAGGACCUACGGCGGAGGAAGUAGGGGCUCGAAUUACUCGUACAUAGGGAUCCAAAGAUUCAAUGGGUUCGCUUAGUGUACCAGAACCUGCAAUGGCAUCACGGCCCGAUUUACGUACGACCUGAGUAUCCAAUCUACCAGAACCUAAUAAAGUGAAAUUCAGAUGAAAUAAAUAACUUUUCAUUAAAAAAGAAAAUAAACUAAAACGAGAUUCA